GAUGAACGCUAGCUGUAGGCUUAACACAUGCAAGUCGAGGGGAAACGGCAUUAUGUGCUUGCACAUUUUGGACGUCGACCGGCGCACGGGUGAGUAUCGCGUAUCCAACCUGCCCUUUACUUGGGGAUACCCCGUUGAAAGACGGCCUAAUACCCGAUGUAAUUCAUUGAUGGCAUCAGAUAUGAAUAAAAGAUUUAUCGGUAAAGGAUGGGGAUGCGUCUGAUUAGCUUGUUGGUGAGGUAACGGCUCACCAAGGCGACGAUCAGUAGGGGUUCUGAGAGGAAGGUCCCCCACAUUGGAACUGAGACACGGUCCAAACUCCUACGGGAGGCAGCAGUGAGGAAUAUUGGUCAAUGGGCGCAAGCCUGAACCAGCCAAGUAGCGUGCAGGAAGACGGCCCUACGGGUGGUAAACUGCUUUUAUACGAGAAUAAUUUGAUGCACGUGUGCGUUAUUGCAUGUAUCGUAUGAAUAAGGACCGGCUAAUUCCGUG
RNAcentral lists this ribosomal RNA (492 nucleotides) under uncultured bacterium. Its description in RNAcentral is "partial 16S ribosomal RNA". It matches the Rfam family "Bacterial small subunit ribosomal RNA", at positions 28 to 507 of the family's 1533-position model. The record is from RNAcentral.